UUAGAACUUCAAUCAGAGUCACUUGCGUAGGAAACAUAUUUGUGCAGUGGAUGCAGAAACCUAUUCAAGUUAUCUUAAAGGAAAGAAAAAGAAGAAAACUUGCUAGUUGAUUAAGUUGUCCAUUCACAACUAUCUGCAUAUUCAACCAUUCUGGUUAGGAUGCUUAAGCAUAAUCUCUCGCUGCUUGAGGCCCAAACAUCAUUCCAGUAGCAUCGAGCGGCUGUGCGCCAAGAUCUUUUACGUGAAAACCUUCAAUUGUGGGGUUCAUGUUCAUUCUUGAAUUAACUGCUUCUAGCUUCAUUGACAGGAACUCAACCUGCUGCUGCAAUGACAGGAUGUAGUUGAUUAUCUCAUCAAGAACAAGUGCUUUACCAAUAACCUUAUUACACCCAGGGACCAAAUCCUGGAGUAUCUUCAUCCUCUCACUUAUCUUUGCUCUCCUAGCUCUCUCUGCUAGACUGUGGCUAUCAGUUGCUUGACCCCUUCUUGCUCUCACGUAAAUGUAGUCUUGCUUAGGCAGCUCAGAUGGUUUACUGUUUUGAUCAGCUGGCUUGUCCUUGGCAACAGAACUUGCUUCUAUUUCAACAUUUGAAUUAACAUGCUCAUUUCUGGCUCCUGAUACUUUCAUCCGCUUACCAUUUGAAUUAUUCAAUUCAUUGCCACUGCUUGUAGUCGAAACCAUCUUAGAUGAUUCAUCCUCCGAGCUCAAAUCUCUCCUCUUCCUUCCAUUCCCACCGCCUCCACCAAUACUCUGCUCCGUCACAGUCGAUUCCUCCACCGACCCAUCUCGUUCCCCAGAGCUUCCACCCAAAUUCCCCAUUCGGAGUCCCAACCCACCAACGGCCGCAUCUCCAUUAAUAGCCGGAAACUGCCAAAUCUCCGCCAAAGUGUAAGAAGAUGGAUUGGCUGCAGAUGAGAAGGUGUCAUUUAUCAAUGGAGGAUCCAUACUCUUCUCCUGAGUUCGAGCUCAUUCGAGAAGGCGGGCCUGGGAAUUCGAGACCCGAAUUGACGACUCUGAAUUAUAGAGGCACAAAUUCAGCUUUUUUCUUUUUUUUUUUUCGCUUACUCGGUUUUGAGGAAUUUUGAGUGAGCCAGUGAGUUGAGGCUUAGAUGAUGGGUUAUUGAAGAAAUGAUUUGCAGAGAAGCGUGGCAGCAGCACAGGGUGAUAUUUUUCACUCGAGGAUGGAGAAGGCGGGCGCAU
Molecule: unclassified non-coding RNA, 1201 nt
Filed under: Hevea brasiliensis (rubber tree)
Lineage: Eukaryota; Viridiplantae; Streptophyta; Magnoliopsida; Malpighiales; Euphorbiaceae
Source: RNAcentral